GAUGAACGCUGGCGGCGUGCCUAAUACAUGCAAGUCGAGCGAACAGACGAGGAGCUUGCUCCUCGGACGUUAGCGGCGGACGGGUGAGUAACACGUGGAUAACCUACCUAUAAGACUGGGAUAACUUCGGGAAACCGGAGCUAAUACCGGAUAACAUGUUGAACCGCAUGGUUCAACAGUGAAAGACGGUCUUGCUGUCACUUAUAGAUGGAUCCGCGCCGCAUUAGCGAGUUGGUAAGGUAACGGCUUACCAAGGCAACGAUGCGUAGCCGACCUGAGAGGGUGAUCGGCCACCCUGGAACUUAGACACGGUCCAGACUCCUGCGGGACGCAGCAGUAGGGAAUCUUCCGCAAUGGGCGAAAGCCUGACGGAGCAACGCCGCGUGAGUGAAGAAGGUCUUCCGUUCGUAAAACUCUCUUAUUAGUGAAGAACAAAUGUGUAAGUAACUAUGCACGUCUUGACGGUACCUAAUCAGAAAGCCCCGGCUAACUACGUG
This 497-nucleotide ribosomal RNA is filed under the name uncultured bacterium. Its description in RNAcentral is "partial 16S ribosomal RNA". It matches the Rfam family "Bacterial small subunit ribosomal RNA", at positions 28 to 507 of the family's 1533-position model. The record is from RNAcentral.